GGGCCCGUAGCUCAGCAAGGCUAGAGCGGCGGACUCUUAAUCCGCAGGUCGCGGGUUCAAUUCCCGUCGGGCCCGCCA
This 78-nucleotide transfer RNA is filed under the name Candidatus Bathyarchaeota archaeon. RNAcentral's name for it is "tRNA-Lys". It matches the Rfam family "tRNA". From Rfam's summary of the family: Transfer RNA (tRNA) molecules are approximately 80 nucleotides in length. RNAcentral also lists the same sequence under 1 other name. The record is from RNAcentral. Lineage: Archaea; Thermoproteati; Candidatus Bathyarchaeota.